This 605-nucleotide ribosomal RNA is filed under the name Microbacterium sp. N2. Its description in RNAcentral is "bacterial SSU rRNA". It matches the Rfam family "Bacterial small subunit ribosomal RNA", at positions 68 to 682 of the family's 1533-position model. Lineage: Bacteria; Bacillati; Actinomycetota; Actinomycetes; Micrococcales; Microbacteriaceae. The record is from RNAcentral.
GGUGAAGCCAGCUUGCUGGGUGGAUCAGUUGGCGAACGGGUGAGUAACACGUGAGCAACCUGCCCCUGACUCUGGGAUAAGCGCUGGAAACGGCGUCUAAUACUGGAUACGAGUAGCGACCGCAUGGUCAGUUACUGGAAAGAUUUAUUGGUUGGGGAUGGGCUCGCGGCCUAUCAGCUUGUUGGUGAGGUAAUGGCUCACCAAGGCGUCAACGGGUAGCCGGCCUGAGAGGGUGACCGGCCACACUGGGACUGAGACACGGCCCAGACUCCUACGGGAGGCAGCAGUGGGGAAUAUUGCACAAUGGGCGCAAGCCUGAUGCAGCAACGCCGCGUGAGGGAUGACGGCCUUCGGGUUGUAAACCUCUUUUAGCAGGGAAGAAGCGAAAGUGACGGUACCUGCAGAAAAAGCGCCGGCUAACUACGUGCCAGCAGCCGCGGUAAUACGUAGGGCGCAAGCGUUAUCCGGAAUUAUUGGGCGUAAAGAGCUCGUAGGGCGGUUUGUCGCGUCUGCUGUGAAAUCCGGAGGCUCAACCUCCGGCCUGCAGUGAGGUACGGGCAGACUAGAGUGCGGUAGGGGAGAUUGGAAUUCCUUGGUGUACGCGG